RNAcentral lists this ribosomal RNA (967 nucleotides) under Lactobacillus gasseri. Its description in RNAcentral is "bacterial SSU rRNA". It matches the Rfam family "Bacterial small subunit ribosomal RNA", at positions 8 to 929 of the family's 1533-position model. Lineage: Bacteria; Bacillati; Bacillota; Bacilli; Lactobacillales; Lactobacillaceae. The record is from RNAcentral.
AGAGUUUGAUCAUGGCUCAGGACGAACGCUGGCGGCGUGCCUAAUACAUGCAAGUCGAGCGAGCUUGCCUAGAUGAAUUUGGUGCUUGCACCAAAUGAAACUAGAUACAAGCGAGCGGCGGACGGGUGAGUAACACGUGGGUAACCUGCCCAAGAGACUGGGAUAACACCUGGAAACAGAUGCUAAUACCGGAUAACAACACUAGACGCAUGUCUAGAGUUUAAAAGAUGGUUCUGCUAUCACUCUUGGAUGGACCUGCGGUGCAUUAGCUAGUUGGUAAGGUAACGGCUUACCAAGGCAAUGAUGCAUAGCCGAGUUGAGAGACUGAUCGGCCACAUUGGGACUGAGACACGGCCCAAACUCCUACGGGAGGCAGCAGUAGGGAAUCUUCCACAAUGGACGCAAGUCUGAUGGAGCAACGCCGCGUGAGUGAAGAAGGGUUUCGGCUCGUAAAGCUCUGUUGGUAGUGAAGAAAGAUAGAGGUAGUAACUGGCCUUUAUUUGACGGUAAUUACUUAGAAAGUCACGGCUAACUACGUGCCAGCAGCCGCGGUAAUACGUAGGUGGCAAGCGUUGUCCGGAUUUAUUGGGCGUAAAGCGAGUGCAGGCGGUUCAAUAAGUCUGAUGUGAAAGCCUUUCGGCUCAACCGGAGGAAUUGCAUCAGGAAAACUGUUGAACUUGAGUGCAGAAGGAGGAGAGUGGAACUCCAUGUGUAGCGGUGGAAUGCGUAGAUAUAUGGAAGAACACCAGUGGCGAAGGCGGCUCUCUGGUCUGCAACUGACGCUGAGGCUCGAAAGCAUGGGUAGCGAACAGGAUUAGAUACCCUGGUAGUCCAUGCCGUAAACGAUGAGUGCUAAGUGUUGGGAGGUUUCCGCCUCUCAGUGCUGCAGCUAACGCAUUAAGCACUCCGCCUGGGGAGUACGACCGCAAGGUUGAAACUCAAAGGAAUUGACGGGGGCCCGCACAAG